Molecule: ribosomal RNA, 384 nt
Filed under: uncultured bacterium
Lineage: Bacteria
Description: bacterial SSU rRNA
Rfam family: Bacterial small subunit ribosomal RNA
Source: RNAcentral
UCAGGCCUAACACAUACAAGUCGAACGGCAGCACGGGUGCUUGCACCUGGUAAAAAGUGGCGAACGGGUGAGUAAUACAUCGGAACGUACCUUAUUGUGGGGGAUAACGCAGCGAAAGCUGUGCUAAUACCGCAUAAUCCCUAAGGGGGAAAGCGGGGGACCGUAAGGCCUCGCGCAAUUAGAGCGGCCGAUACCUGAUUAGCUAGUUGGUGAGGUAAAGGCUCACCAAGGCAACGAUCAGUAGCUGGUCUGAGAGGACGAUCAGCCACACUGGGACUGAGACACGGCCCAGACUCCUACGGGAGGCAGCAGUGGGGAACUUUGGACAAUGGGGGCAACCCUGAUCCAAAGAUGCCGCGUGAGUGAAGAAGGCCUUCGGGUUGU